Long non-coding RNA from Chinchilla lanigera (long-tailed chinchilla), 722 nucleotides. RefSeq lists it as uncharacterized. The transcript has 4 exons. The record is from RefSeq and is a predicted model, not a curated record. Lineage: Eukaryota; Metazoa; Chordata; Mammalia; Rodentia; Chinchillidae.
AGUUGGGGCACUUGGAAAAGAAUGUGGCAAAGAAAAAAAAAGUAGACCUCCAGGGAUCUGAAGGGAGGUAACAGAAAAACUAGAAGCUACAGAGAAGUUGGAAAACUGAGCACAAAUUGGAGAAAUGAACAAAGCAUUCUGGAAUGCUAACCCCAGCUCCCAGGGAAAGGAAUCUGUCUGCAUUAACACAAGAUUUAUCCAGGCUAGGACUGGAGAUUUGGCCAGCUACGUCAAUACCGAGGGCACACGUGAGCCAUCAUGGUCCACGAUCAAGCACCUACCCAAUGACUGUAAGGAGAUCUGGAGUCCUGAGCAGAGUCGGCUUCACCCAGAGCACAUGGCCCAAGGUUAGGGGAAGAGAAAUUUCCCUGGAGUAGCUGCUGAGCAGAGAAAAAGAACUGAAACAUGGAAAUCUCUGCAACUUUGGUCAACAACCCACAGAGCUGUGCUUUGGGAAAACUCUGUGUUUCAGGUAGAAAAAAAUUAUUCUUCAAUAUUCCUGAGGAUGAGAUUGGAUAAAAGACACAAAUGAAGUCCAGACCAAGUACAAAAACACGGGCUCCUUCUUCUGGCUGUUCAACUAAUGCAGACUUCGCCUGAGGAUGAGAUAACUAUCUCCACAGCCAGUCCCUCGCCUAGACUUCAAAUUACAGUAAUUAUGACAAUUUGUGCCAAUAGCCACGAGGUGGGAUUUUUGAUGUGGUUAAAAAUAACAUCUGUAA